Molecule: long non-coding RNA, 221 nt
Filed under: Vitis vinifera (wine grape)
Lineage: Eukaryota; Viridiplantae; Streptophyta; Magnoliopsida; Vitales; Vitaceae
Description: long non-coding RNA (VVIN_LNC007211)
Source: RNAcentral
GGAGUAAUUAUCAAAUUUUUGUAAUACCAUUUCCAACUUGAAAUAGAAAAGUUAUCGAUGAAACAACUAAUCUGUAUUUGAGGCAUUUCAAAAGUUAAUUUAAAGUCUUAUUUCCUAUAAUAUAUAAAUUAAAUAACUUAAAAUUAUAUAGCUUUUUAAAAAUAUUAAUUACAUUUGAUUUAAAAAAAAAAAUCUAGAAUAGAAUAAAAAAUAAAUCAAAC